This 396-nucleotide ribosomal RNA is filed under the name uncultured bacterium. RNAcentral's name for it is "partial 16S ribosomal RNA". It matches the Rfam family "Bacterial small subunit ribosomal RNA", at positions 523 to 918 of the family's 1533-position model. The record is from RNAcentral.
AUACGUAGGGGGCGAGCGUUGUCCGGAAUGAUUGGGCGUAAAGGGCGCGUAGGCGGCCCGGUAAGUCUGGAGUGAAAGUCCUGUUUUUAAGAUGGGAAUUGCUUUGGAUACUGUCGGGCUUGAGUGCAGGAGAGGUAAGUGGAAUUCCCAGUGUAGCGGUGAAAUGCGUAGAGAUUGGGAGGAACACCAGUGGCGAAGGCGACUUACUGGACUGUAACUGACGCUGAGGCGCGAAAGUGUGGGGAGCAAACAGGAUUAGAUACCCUGGUAGUCCACACUGUAAACGAUGAAUGCUAGGUGUAGGGGUAUCGACCCCUUCUGUGCCGCAGUCAACACAAUAAGCAUUCCGCCUGGGGAGUACGGCCGCAAGGUUGAAACUCAAAUGAAUUGACGGGG